GCCAACAACUCAGCUUCUCACUAGCCACAGGGCUGGCGGCUGCCAUGGGCUCAGCACGGAUCCCAGACCACUUGCAUCACUGCAGAAAGUUCUACUGGGCAGCACUGGCUGAGCCAUCACUUCUGCCACAGAGCCAAGAACUUGACACAGUCACCCUCAGAAAAGCAAAGUCAGGCAGACUUGACUCCACCUCCUCCCGGGCCGGGGCUUCCUAUUUCUAGGAGCGACAGCAGUUCUCUGCUGCUGGAGAUGGACAGCCUCAAGUUCCUUCAGGGUCCUUGAGCUCCAAGGCAGGUAUGGGAACCAUGCUGUUCUCCCUGCGUCCAGCCCUCUGCCCAGCUCCCAGGAUGGGAAGGGAAGAAAAGACAAUGUCACCUUGUCCCUUAGGAAACACUUGUUCAAAGUUAUGUGUCCACAGCAGGGCAGACUGGAGUGCACGCUGGCCAGAUGGAGAGCUGGCCAAGUUCCUUCCCUGGGAACACUGAACUCCUGGGCUCAGCCUCCAGCUCCUGCUCAGAGACCAGUGUCAUCAAUGAACUGAGGUCUGAGGGCAACCCAGCAGCCGGUUGCUCUGUCCCUUAAAAAAAAACAAAAAUAGCAGAGACUUCCGCUCCAGAGCCUAUGCGUGGAGCCGAGCCACCGCCUACCUUGGGCGUGGGAUGAAACCCUGGGGAAAAGUCCCGACUGCGUGAAUGCCCAGAGCUGCUGGAGACCAGAGCUGUGACCUCUUGGAGUUCGCAGGACCAUCUUCCUUCCAUGGAGGCUCUUAGGAAGGAGAAUUAGCCUAGUAUAAGCUGCAGCUGCUGCUGCUUACAGUAACAGCAACGACAAUAAUAGCAUAGUGGCACUUUCACUUUUCUUCAUCAACUUCCUUAAUUCUCACGGCAACCCUGCCUGGAAGUUCUUCUCCUACCUUCAUCCUGCAGAUGGGGAGACUGGCUUUGUUGUUGUUUAGUCACUCAGCCGUGUCCAACUCUUUGGGACCCCAUGGACUGUAGACCGCCAGGCUCCUCUGUCCGUGGGAUUCUCCAGGCAAGAAUACUGGAGUGAGUUGCCAUUUCCUUCUCCAGGAGAUCUUCCUGACCCAGGGAUCGAACCUGUAUCUCCUGUGGCUCCAGCAUUGGCAGGCGGAUUUUUUACCACUGAGCCACAUGGGACGCCCCCUAUGAAU
Bos taurus (domestic cattle) is the source of this 1171-nucleotide long non-coding RNA. The record is from Ensembl. Lineage: Eukaryota; Metazoa; Chordata; Mammalia; Artiodactyla; Bovidae.